This 252-nucleotide ribosomal RNA is filed under the name uncultured bacterium. RNAcentral describes it as "partial 16S ribosomal RNA". It matches the Rfam family "Bacterial small subunit ribosomal RNA", at positions 524 to 776 of the family's 1533-position model. The record is from RNAcentral.
UACGUAGGGGGCGAGCGUUGUCCGGAAUUAUUGGGCGUAAAGGGUACGCAGGCGGUCUAAGAAGUCAGAUGUUAAAGCGUAGGGCUUAACCCUAUAAAGCAUAUGAAACUGAUAGACUUGAGUAAAGGAGAGGAAAGUGGAAUUCCUGGUGUAGCGGUGAAAUGCGUAGAUAUCAGGAGGAAUACCGGUGGCGAAGGCGACUUUCUGGACUUUAACUGACGCUGAGGUACGAAAGCGCGGGGAGCAAACAGG